Molecule: long non-coding RNA, 136 nt
Organism: Thalassophryne amazonica
Lineage: Eukaryota; Metazoa; Chordata; Actinopteri; Batrachoidiformes; Batrachoididae
Exons: 3
Source: RefSeq, a predicted model, not a curated record
GUGGUGUGCCAGUAUCAUGGAUCACCUACUUUACUGUGUAACAUGAUUUUUGUUCCUGGCAAAUAAGUGUCUUUUUCCAACUACAUUUAUUGCAGAACAAUAGAAAAAGCCCAAAUUUUCAUGUCAAACUUUGGCU